AGCGGCGAACGGGUGAGUAACACGUAGGUGAUCUGCCCAUCAGACGGGGACAACGAUUGGAAACGAUCGCUAAUACCGGAUAGGACGAAAGUUUAAAGGUGCUUCUGGCACCGCUGAUGGAUGAGCCUGCGGCGCAUUAGCUAGUUGGUAGGGUAAAGGCCUACCAAGGCGACGAUGCGUAGCCGACCUGAGAGGGUGAACGGCCACACUGGGACUGAGACACGGCCCAGACUCCUACGGGAGGCAGCAGUAGGGAAUCUUCGGCAAUGGGCGAAAGCCUGACCGAGCAACGCCGCGUGAAUGAUGAAGGCCUUCGGGUUGUAAAAUUCUGUUAUAAGGGAAGAACGACUUUAGUAGGAAAUGGCUAGAGUGUGACGGUACCUUAUGAGAAAGCCACGGCUAACUACGUGCCAGCAGCCGCGGUAAUACGUAGGUGGCGAGCGUUAUCCGGAAUUAUUGGGCGUAAAGAGCGCGCAGGUGGUUGAUUAAGUCUGAUGUGAAAGCCCACGGCUUAACCGUGGAGGGUCAUUGGAAACUGGUCGACUUGAGUGCAGAAGAGGGAAGUGGAAUUCCAUGUGUAGCGGUGAAAUGCGUAGAGAUAUGGAGGAACACCGGUGGCGAAGGCGGCUUCCUGGUCUGUAACUGACACUGAGGCGCGAAAGCGUGGGGAGCAAACAGGAUUAGAUACCCUGGUAGUCCACGCCGUAAACGAUGAGUGCUAAGUGU
Molecule: ribosomal RNA, 726 nt
Filed under: uncultured bacterium
Lineage: Bacteria
Description: bacterial SSU rRNA
Rfam family: Bacterial small subunit ribosomal RNA
Source: RNAcentral